This 253-nucleotide ribosomal RNA is filed under the name uncultured bacterium. Its description in RNAcentral is "partial 16S ribosomal RNA". It matches the Rfam family "Bacterial small subunit ribosomal RNA", at positions 524 to 776 of the family's 1533-position model. The record is from RNAcentral.
UACGUAGGGGGCAAGCGUUGUCCGGAAUCAUUGGGCGUAAAGCGCGUGUAGGCGGCUCGAUAAGUCCGUUCUGAAAGUCCAGGGCUCAACCCUGGGAUGCGGAUGGAUACUGUCGAGCUCGAGUCCGGAAGAGGCGAGUGGAAUUCCUGGUGUAGCGGUGAAAUGCGCAGAUAUCAGGAGGAACACCGAUGGCGAAGGCAGCUCGCUGGGACGGUACUGACGCUGAGGCGCGAAAGCGUGGGGAGCGAACAGG